AUGGUCGGGGGAGGAGGUUGGGGACCCUCAGGAUGGUCAGCGGGAGGAGGUCCGGGGCCCUCAGGAUGGUCAGGGGAGGAGGUCGGGGUCCCUCAGGAUGGUCAGGGGGAGGAGGUGCAGGGUCCCUCAGGAUGGUCAGGGGGAGGAGGUGCAGGGUCCCUCAGGAUGGUCAGGGGGAGGAGGUCCGGGGCCCUCAGGAUGGUCAGGGGAGGAGGUCGGGGUCCCUCAGGAUGGUCAGGGGGAGGAGGUCAGGGGCCCUCAGGAUGGUCAGGGGAGGAGGUCGGGGUCCCUCAGGAUGGUCAGGGGGAGGAGGUCCGGGUCCCUCAGGAUGGUCGGGGGAGGAGGUCGGGGUCCCUCAGGAUGGUCGGGGGAGGAGGUCGGGUCCCUAGGAUGGUCGGGGGGAGGAGGUGCAGAGUCCCUCAGGAUGGUCAGGGGGAGGAGGUACAAGGGCCCUCAGGAUGGUCAGGGGGAGGAGGUGCAGGGUCCCUCAGGAUGGUGGGGGGAGGAGGUCGGGGUCCCUCAGGAUGGUCGGGGGAGGAGGUCCGGGGCCCUCAGGAUGGUCGGGGGAGGAGGUGCAGGGUCCCUCAGGAUGGUCAAGGGAGGAGGUACAAGGGCCCUCAGGAUGGUCAGGGGGAGGAGGUCCGGGGCCCUCAGGAUGGUCGGGGGAGGAGGUCGGGGUCCCUCAGGAUGGUCGGGGGAGGAGGUCGGGUCCCUAGGAUGGUCGGGGGGAGGAGGUGCAGAGUCCCUCAGGAUGGUCAGGGGGAGGAGGUACAAGGGCCCUCAGGAUGGUCAGGGGGAGGAGGUGCAGGGUCCCUCAGGAUGGUCGGGGGAGGAGGUCGGGGUCCCUCAGGAUGGUCGGGGGAGGAGGUCCGGGGCCCUCAGGAUGGUCGGGGGAGGAGGUGCAGGGUCCCUCAGGAUGGUCAGGGGAGGAGGUACAAGGGCCCUCAGGAUGGUCAGGGGGAGGAGGUCCGGGGCCCUCAGGAUGGUCGGGGGAGGAGGUCGGGGCCGCCGCGCUGGUCAGGCGGGGACUCCCCUGAGGCUCUCACUCCGCACGGCGCACGUGCAGCUCUUUCGAAGCGAGAGCCCCGCAUCAGCACACGGACCCGCGCCCGGGCCCCGGGUUCCCGCUCCGGCACCGCCCGCAGCACCUCAGCGACACUCACCUCCAGCCCCACCGUUCGCCGGAAGCGCUCGAUCCCCAGCGCGGCGGCGCGGCACUUCCGGUUACGCUCUAGGCCGCGGGAGGCCGUGCACUCGGCUGCUCCCCGCGCGGGCUCCGCAUCAGGCGCGCUGGUCCUUCCUCCCGCGCGGGUCUUAGCCGGGACCCCCCGCUCCCGCCCGCCGGCCUCCAGCCAGGCCCGGGGUCCGGCGUCUGCAGAGGGGAUACCGCAGAGAGGUGCCCACAGCACCCCAUGCGGAGGCCCACCGUGUCCAUCAGCUCUUCACUGGCGAGUGAUCGUUGUGACAUGUGGUCAGAUGUCGCCUGUUGUCUUCCCUCCUCAACCAGUAAGCCAUCCUGGAGGAGGAAGGCCGAGGGAGCGCGGCCAGGGCAGGGUAUGACGCCAGGAAGGACACUGCCGGUGACCCCAGUGGACACGGUCCACGAGGCAGAACUGGAGGCUGUGCUGGGCUCAAGGGUUGGAUCCGUGCGCCUGAAUUUGGUGACUGUCCUGUGGUUUCGUAAGAGAACACCCUUGAGAAUCGGGAGCGCACAAAGGCACUGCGAGGCCGAGGGUUCCCAAACCGUUCUACAAAGGGUUGGGAGAGGGACGCCCGGGAGGCUCAGCGGUUGAGCAUCUGCCUUGGUUGAGCAUCUGCCUUCGGCUCAGGGCGUGACCCCGGGGUCCUGGGAUCGAGUCCCUUCUCAGGCUCCCUGCAUGGAACCUGCUCCUCCCUCUGCCUCUCUCUCUCUCUCUCUCUGUCUCUCAUGAACAAAUAAAUAAAACCUUUAAAAAUAAUAAUAGGGAAAA
Molecule: long non-coding RNA, 1970 nt
Filed under: Canis lupus dingo (dingo)
Lineage: Eukaryota; Metazoa; Chordata; Mammalia; Carnivora; Canidae
Description: lncRNA (ENSCAFG00020018645.1)
Source: RNAcentral